UUUCCCCCUAACAGUCUCGAGGAACUCCUCAGCAUAAGCCUGGGCAAGCUGAGUCUUCAACUGGUCCAUGAGGUCCGAAGAUGAAAUAUUAGACGAACUUGAUCCAAUUGACGGUGAUGAAAAAGAAUCCAUCGCUGCUUCUUGCUCUUCUCUCGACGAUGUGCGACACUAUCUUCUGCGGUGAAACAGAGACAUGUAUAAACCCU
Molecule: unclassified non-coding RNA, 206 nt
Filed under: Hevea brasiliensis (rubber tree)
Lineage: Eukaryota; Viridiplantae; Streptophyta; Magnoliopsida; Malpighiales; Euphorbiaceae
Source: RNAcentral